UACAGAGGGUGCGAGCGUUAAUCGGAAUUACUGGGCGUAAAGCGCGCGUAGGCGGCUUUGCAAGUCGAGUGUGAAAUCCCCGGGCUCAACCUGGGAAUUGCGUUGGAGACUGCAAGGCUGGAGUCUGGCAGAGGGGGGUAGAAUUCCACGUGUAGCAGUGAAAUGCGUAGAGAUGUGGAGGAACACCGAUGGCGAAGGCAGCCCCCUGGGUCAAGACUGACGCUCAUGCACGAAAGCGUGGGGAGCAAACAGG
Molecule: ribosomal RNA, 253 nt
Filed under: uncultured bacterium
Lineage: Bacteria
Description: partial 16S ribosomal RNA
Rfam family: Bacterial small subunit ribosomal RNA
Source: RNAcentral